RNAcentral lists this ribosomal RNA (253 nucleotides) under uncultured bacterium. Its description in RNAcentral is "partial 16S ribosomal RNA". It matches the Rfam family "Bacterial small subunit ribosomal RNA", at positions 524 to 776 of the family's 1533-position model. The record is from RNAcentral.
UACAGAGGGUGCGAGCGUUACUCGGAAUUACUGGGCGUAAAGCGUGCGCAGGCGGCUUUGUAAGCCAGAUGUGAAAUCCCCGGGCUUAACCUGGGAAUGGCAUUUGGGACUGCAAGGCUGGAGUUUGGCAGAGGAGACUGGAAUUCCCGGUGUAGCAGUGAAAUGCGUAGAUAUCGGGAGGAAUACCGAUGGCGAAGGCAGGUCUCUGGGCUAUAACUGACGCUCAUGCACGAAAGCGUGGGGAGCAAACAGG